RNAcentral lists this ribosomal RNA (251 nucleotides) under uncultured bacterium. RNAcentral's name for it is "partial 16S ribosomal RNA". It matches the Rfam family "Bacterial small subunit ribosomal RNA", at positions 526 to 779 of the family's 1533-position model. The record is from RNAcentral.
CGUAAGGACCGAGCGUUGUCCGGAAUCAUUGGGCGUAAAGGGUACGUAGGCGGCUAGAAAGUUAGAAGUCAAAGGCUAUAGCUCAACUAUAGUAAGCUUCUAAAACUAUUUAGCUUGAGAAAUGGAAGGGAAAGUGGAAUUCCUAGUGUAGCGGUGGAAUGCGCAGAUAUUAGGAAGAAUACCGGUGGCGAAGGCGACUUUCUGGCCAUUAUCUGACGCUGAGGUACGAAAGCGUGGUAGCAAACAGGAUU